GUCUACGGCCAUGCCACCCUGAACAUGCCCAACCUCGUCUGAACUUGGAAGCUAAGCAGGGUCGGGCCUAGUUAGUACUUGGAUAGGAGACCACCUAGGAAGACUAGGUGCUAUAGGCG
RNAcentral lists this ribosomal RNA (119 nucleotides) under Pteropus alecto (black flying fox). Lineage: Eukaryota; Metazoa; Chordata; Mammalia; Chiroptera; Pteropodidae. The record is from RNAcentral. RNAcentral also lists the same sequence under 1 other name.